RNAcentral lists this ribosomal RNA (254 nucleotides) under uncultured bacterium. Its description in RNAcentral is "partial 16S ribosomal RNA". It matches the Rfam family "Bacterial small subunit ribosomal RNA", at positions 524 to 776 of the family's 1533-position model. The record is from RNAcentral.
CACGUAGGGGGCGAGCGUUGUCCGGAUUUAUUGGGCGUAAAGAGCUCGUAGGCGGUUCGGUAAGUCAGAUGUGAAAGUCCAGGGCUCAACCCUGGGAAGCCAUCUGAUACUGUCGUGACUAGAGUCCGGUAGGGGAGCACGGAAUUCCUGGUGUAGCGGUGAAAUGCGCAGAUAUCAGGAGGAACACCAGCGGCGAAGGCGGUGCUCUGGGCCGGAACUGACGCUGAGGAGCGAAAGCGUGGGUAGCGAACAGG